This is a long non-coding RNA of Pipra filicauda (Wire-tailed manakin), 500 nucleotides long. RefSeq lists it as uncharacterized. The transcript is spliced from 4 exons. The record is from RefSeq and is a predicted model, not a curated record. NCBI's taxonomy places the organism in Eukaryota, Metazoa, Chordata, Aves, Passeriformes, Pipridae.
CCAGCUAAUUACCCUAACCUUGACCCAGGAGGCAGUCUGACUUCUCAAUAACUUACAGUUGCAAGAAUUGAAAGAAGCUGGGAUCUCAGAUGUUUAUUGGAGUGAAGUGAUGACAUACAACAUCCGCACAAAUGGAUUUUAGAUGGAUUUUUUGCAACACUGAUUCAGACCAAAAAGCAGAAUUUAUGGAAAUAUAAAAAGAAAGCCUCAGCUAGAAGGAGGAUUCAGGCACAGCAAGCACAGAAGGUGGCUUUGUAUGAAGGAGAACAAAAACAAGGUCUCUGAGGCCAUCGUUGAGCUGCUGCUAUGAUUUAUUUUAGUGCUGAAAGUCUCUAAACAAUGAAGCUGCCAACUUUUUCUGCAAGCAUUUAUUUAACACUCCCAAUAUCAGAAAAUUAGUCCUUGUUAUUUACUCUGAAUUGUAGGUAAAGGAUUUGGAUGCGGAAACAGUGGGCAUAAAAUAUAUGAAAAUGUUCAUGAUUUGUGUUACUUAAUAAACU